GAGACGCUCAAGUUCUUAUCAGCUGAAAAAGGAGGAAGAGCUCUCUCCCUCUCCCUCUCUCUCUCUCUGUGUUUUUACUUCUUCGUUUCGGAUUGUCUGUUGUCAUUCCCACCCAGUAAAAGCCGAGACAGCAGCCUGCUUCUUAGUAGCUGUGCAACUCUGCAGAUCGUUUGCUUUUUACAUUUUCCUGUCUUUUUGUUUUUUUAAAAAAAAUACAAUGGUUUCAAUCAUCUCUGAUCUGGACCCACUGAAAAGCUGGAAAGUUUUAAGGUAGGCCUGUUUCUUUCUUUCUUUCUUUCUUUCUUUCUUUCUUUCUUUCUUUCUUUCUUUCUUCCCCCAUAGGAACCCCUCCUCCGUUUACCUUACUCACAAGUACAACGCAUGCACGGGCUUGGUCUGCGCUUCAGAAUCACAUGGGGCUUAACCUCGACUGCACUGCAAUCUCGGUGCUGUAACCACAAUAUGAAUUCCUGGGUUUAAGAUACAACAAGAGUUUCUGGUAAUUAGACCCCCCCCCUCCUUUUAAAAAAAAAAAAAAAGGAUGAGGGGGGUUCAGCUGAUGUUUCAGCGGAGUCUUCAUUGAGAACUUUGAAUAUAUCCCUUAAUGCAGACCGGAAAAGUUGGUUGCCUUGUUAUUUUAAAGUGGGAUUUAUUUCGAAGCUGGAGCUGUAAUAAGUUUAACACUGGCUGAGACUGCUAAAGAGUUGAAAAACUUGUGGGGUUUUAUUAUUAGUAUUUGCUUCGUCGGAGAAAGGAUUUUCUAAGUGAUGUGUGCAUUGCUGCCUUAGCAGAGGGCAUGUCAUUAAUUUUAGGGGAAAUUUCCCUUAUUUUUGAGCUUUACAGAAUACUUUUGGGAAACUAUUUAUGCAAGGCAUGAUUUUGGUUCUUGAGGGUUGUUUGUGCCUUAACUCUACUUUUAAAAAAGUAAAUGGGAAGGGAAUGGUUACUGCUUAAAUGGGUUUUACACGAAUUCGACCUGUCACAAUAGUGUUCUGAAAUGCUUUGUGAGGCUACCCAUCAAGUUUUUGGUUUAUAAAGUACACUGCUUCCUAAAAGUUUUGGGAUGGCACUGCAGCCCUUUCUUAAAACUUCUACUUGGAAAACUAACCACAAUUCUCUUGAUAUAUCUCCAUCCUUUUGCAUUUUAUAUCCAAUGAGGAAAGGCCUUUGAAGAAGCAUAUGGCUGCUGUUUAUUGCAAUGAUGUGAUAAGAUGAGAUGAGAAUCUGUUCUUUGGUGGCCUUAUUAUUACAAUUUUAAGGACGGAUGUGCUGCAAAGUCGUUUAUCUUUGCAGCAAGGUGUUUAUCUUACAGCAAGGUGUGUGCAUGUUGUGAACAGAGGACUGUGAACAGACACCUCCCACGCAAACACAUUUGCUGACGGCAAAUGUGUGGAGGGGCUUUCAAAUCCCUCUAUGCAUGUUCUAUAUAAGUUGCAUUGGAGGAGGAGGUGCGUCUGUGUACAUGACUUGCUAAAGGCAAGAAGGGGUUGUAAUGCUAUAGCUUCCCACCCUUGUUUCCAGUGAUACAAUGCAUCCCAAUGGCAGCAUCAGCUAUGAUUGCUUGGAGGGUUUGUGUGUAUCUAGCGAUUUUCUUUUCUCUUCUAAUCUUGUGCUUCACAGACAAGGACACCAGGCCUUAACCUUGAAAGGGGUGCCUUGCCUAGAUGUUUCCUUUCAUAUCUGCAAGCGUGCAACGCUGGUAGGGGCGGCACGUUAUCUAUUGUGUGUUAGAAUGGAAAGUAUUUGUUGUUUGUGGCUCCUGUUCUUGAUCUUUGGACAUUUGGCUUGCCAAAUUACUUCCCCCCACACCACACCACCCCUGACUGCUGGGGCAACUUCAAUAGGAUGACAUGAAGAACUCAUUGGCAUACAGAUAAAGGGUAGAAAAGGUCUCUCUCUCUCUCUCCAAAAGACACAAGAGAACAACUAAUCAAAGAUUGGCACCCACAAUGCUUUCUUACUGAUGUUGCUGUGAGAAAAUGUUGUAUUUGCAGAGAGCAAAUGCACUUGAAUACAGGGAGAAGGGUGCAUGCCUCUUAAAUGUCUUAGAUUUAAAGACAAGUCAUAGAAUAAUUUAGAGUUGGAAAGGACAAUGUAGGUCAUCCAAGCAAUGCAGGGAUCUUUUGUCCAAAGUGAGAUUCGAACCCGCAACCCUGGGAUUAAGAGCCUCGGGCUGCACUGACAGAGCUAUCCCAGGCUGGCAGUCAAAAUGUGUUUAGAAGAUUUGUGGCGAUACUUUUGGUCCUGGCUUCAAUGGCCUGAUAAACAUAUUAUUUGUCGGGGGGCACGUCUCAUUUAUUAUUUAGCUCAGAUUAGUUUAAAUGUCUUUUAAAACCAAAACUAUUCAGAUUAUUUUAC
Non-coding RNA from Podarcis lilfordi (Lilford's wall lizard), 2358 nucleotides. The record is from the annotation of a GenBank genome assembly. NCBI's taxonomy places the organism in Eukaryota, Metazoa, Chordata, Lepidosauria, Squamata, Lacertidae.